AAGACGUAAUUAGAGUGACAGAGAAAAAUGCCCGCAAUUUGCUAACUUCGAUUUUCGCGUAACUUAUACUGUGCCUUAAACUAUUUUUUUGCAAGUUUUCACAGAUAAUAAAAUGUGACAUUGAUGCAUCAAGGCGGUUUGUUUACAAAGGGCCUACCGGAAAACGCGAAAAUCCUUAUAUCUGUCUCUUUAUCGCUCGAAUAUGCACGAGUGAUAGAGAGGUUAGAUAACGAAAUUUCAAUUUUCUUGUCUCGCGGUAGACACUCAGAUUGUGAUGGAUUGUGGUAGUGGCGCCCCCUUCGCGGAGUUUCUCGUAAUAUUCCCUAUU
This is a long non-coding RNA of Cydia amplana, 328 nucleotides long. RefSeq lists it as uncharacterized. The record is from RefSeq and is a predicted model, not a curated record. The transcript has 2 exons. Lineage: Eukaryota; Metazoa; Arthropoda; Insecta; Lepidoptera; Tortricidae.